AAUAUUGCACAAUGGGGGAAACGCUGAUGCAGCGACGCCGCGCGAGCGAAGAAGGCCUUCGGGUCGUAAAGUUCUGUCCUCAGGGAAGAACCGGACCGUACCCUAGGAGGAAGCCCCGCCCACCUCCGUGCCUGCAGCCGCGGUAAUACGUAGGGGGCGAGCGUUAUCCGGAAUUACUGGGCGUAAAGGGUGCGUAGGCGGCCUUUUAAGUCAGAUGUGAAAGGCUACGGCUUAACCGUAGUUAGCAUUUGAAACUAAAAGGCUUGAGUGCAGGAGAGGAGAGUGGAAUUCCUAGUGUAGCGGUGAAAUGCGUAGAUAUUAGGAGGAACACCAGUGGCGAAGGCGACUCUCUGGACUGCAACUGACGCUGAGGCACGAAAGCGUGGGGAGCGAACA
RNAcentral lists this ribosomal RNA (396 nucleotides) under uncultured bacterium. RNAcentral's name for it is "partial 16S ribosomal RNA". It matches the Rfam family "Bacterial small subunit ribosomal RNA", at positions 360 to 774 of the family's 1533-position model. The record is from RNAcentral.